GAUAAACAAAAAUCCAAAAGUGCAAUAAGAUUACCUUUCUGAAACAGCUAACUAUGCUGAGCUGGACGAGCUUCGCGGUGACAUAUCACAAAUUGUACAUGAAAAAAUUGAAUCAAGACUCUACAAAUUUUAGGUCGAACAAUUGAUUUGGGACUGAUUUGAAAUUAUAAAUACAUUUCGGAAAACUCUUGCCAAAUCAAGACUCUACAAAUUUUAGGUCGAACAAUUGAUUUGGGACAGAUUUGAAAUUAUAAAUACAUUUCGGAAAACUCUUGCCAACAGAAGAUUUGUUCAAAAAAUCAAAAUAAAGUGCUCAAAAGAAAAAAAUGGAAGUGAAGAAGUACCAUUUUGAGGUCUCUUGUCGAAACUUCGUAUGAAGAAAUGCCAUUUUGACACAUCUUUAAUCGUACUAGGUGAGUUUUCGUCGAGCUUUGCCAAAAUCAAGGAUAGAAUUUCAGCA
This 460-nucleotide long non-coding RNA is filed under the name Solanum tuberosum (potato). RNAcentral's name for it is "long non-coding RNA (STUB_LNC001320)". Lineage: Eukaryota; Viridiplantae; Streptophyta; Magnoliopsida; Solanales; Solanaceae. The record is from RNAcentral.